AAUUUUUGAAAAGCUGCGGUAUCUUGGACCGUACAAAGGUAGCAUAAUAAUUAGUUCUUUAAUUGGGAACUUGUAUGAAUGGUCUGACAAAACAAAAACUGUCUUUGUUGUAAAAGUGUAAUUUAACUUUUAAGUGAAAAGGCUUAAAUAAUUCAAUGGGACGAUAAGACCCUAUAAGCAUUUGGCUGGGGCGGCAUGUUUAAAAAUGUUAACUAUUCUUAUUUUAACCACGUGUAUGUGAGUAGAUCCUUCAUAACGAUUAAAAGGUAAGUUACUUUAGGGAUAACAGCGUUAUUUUUUUUGAGAGUUCAUAUCGAAAAAAAAGAUUGCGACCUCGAUGUUGAAUUAAAAAUUCUGUAUAGUGCAGUAGCUUUACAAGAAGGUCUGUUCGACCUUUAAAUUUUU
Molecule: ribosomal RNA, 405 nt
Filed under: Arcania cornuta
Lineage: Eukaryota; Metazoa; Arthropoda; Malacostraca; Decapoda; Leucosiidae
Description: partial 16S large subunit ribosomal RNA
Rfam family: Bacterial large subunit ribosomal RNA
Source: RNAcentral